GGCUGUUGCUCCACUGAUGUCCACCUUCUUGACAGAAAGAGGGUGUUGCCAUGAGACACAAUGGCUAACAGCUGAUUUUUCAGAAUCGGGAGCACAAACGAGGACAUUGAAGAGAUUAGAGGAGACAAGAACACGAACGAGAGAUCUCAAGCCGGGAGCAUCAAUUCCAUCGUCAUUUGUGACCAUCACCGACGGCUUACACUCGCUGCCGUUACUCUCCAUUGAAUUGUUUGGAGUUCAAACUGAAUGCAAACAAAAUUUUUGAAUUGUUUGGGUAAUAACAAGCCACCACUAGGCACUGAUCGAAAAGGUUUACACAGAUUGGUGGAAAUCCUACGUA
RNAcentral lists this unclassified non-coding RNA (340 nucleotides) under Hevea brasiliensis (rubber tree). The record is from RNAcentral. Lineage: Eukaryota; Viridiplantae; Streptophyta; Magnoliopsida; Malpighiales; Euphorbiaceae.